This is a long non-coding RNA of Sorghum bicolor (sorghum), 1578 nucleotides long. RefSeq lists it as uncharacterized. The transcript has 3 exons. NCBI's taxonomy places the organism in Eukaryota, Viridiplantae, Streptophyta, Magnoliopsida, Poales, Poaceae. The record is from RefSeq and is a predicted model, not a curated record.
GGGUCACCGCCAAUUGAGUCGGCACUGUGCUCACCAGUCACCACCAUGUGGCCCGCCUCGGCGCCCGGCCUCCACCCGCCGUCUCGCCGCCUCUCCGGCCGGCUCGCCCCGCCCUCACCAGCACCACGGUCCUCCGUACGGUGAUAGGGUCGCCACGCCACCCGCCUCAGCGCUGCCCGCACGCGCCUCCUAGGUCACCACUGCCCGCCCGCUGCUCCAGUGUACACAGGAAAAAACGGUUGAUCUGAGCGAAGAGGCUCUACUAAAUUAGCAUCAAAUUGUCAGCAAGACGUUCCGUAGCGAGGAAGAAGGGUAUGGGUUUUACAACAGCUAAGCACUUGAUAGAGGGUUUACUGUGAGGAGAUGCUACGUGGAAAGAGACACGACAACAAAGAAAUUAUGUCUAAGGAAAUUUCUGUGCGAUCGUCAGGGGUUCCAUGAAGCUAGGCACAUGAACAAAGCGAUUAAGAAGAGAAAGCCACAGAAUUUGAGUCAUUGGGGGUGUCUAGCCAAAAUGCUGAUUAAACUCAACAAGGAUAUAGGACAGUGAAGAGUUUAGAAAAUUUCUAUACGUUCUAUAGAAGAGGUUGAGAGGAAAUGGGACGAAUUUUUAGAAAGGAACAAAAUUUCAAGCAAGCACGAGUGUCUGCAUCAAAUGUACCAGAUUAGGAACCUAUGGUGUGCUGCAUAUCAGGUGGACCGAUGUUUCUUAGGCUUGAGGAGCAACCAACGCAGUGAAAGUCUUAAUUCAAAACUGCAUAGAAAUCUGGAUAGGAAGAUGAUGCUAUUAGAUAUGUAUGAACACUAUGAGCAUUGCUUGGCCAAUCUGCGUCGAAAUGAGACAUAUAUAGAUGCUCCAGCAUCUUAGUCUAUUUCAUUCAGGGAAAAGCAAGCUGAUCCUAUGGCGAAACAUGUUGCUGAAGUUUUUACACCUAAAGUAUUUGCAUUGGUGAAGGAAAAAUGGAUUCUGUAGGAAAUUAUGUUAUUUGGGACAUACAAGAUGGAUGUGACAGCACACCAUAUGGCAUUAGUGUGAAGAACAGAAGGGAGUGGAAGUUCCAGGUUCAUUGUGAAAUCAAUGAUGAGUCCACAAUAAGUCUGAUUCGGUGCUUUUGUUGUAAGCUGGAACGCGAUGGCAUACCUUGUGGUCACAUCUUCUGUGUCUUGAAAGUAUUGCGUGCAGAAUGAAUUCCAAGUUGCUGUGUGCUUAUUCUACCAGCCUUUCUUCCUCUGGAGUCCAGGCUAUGUGAUUCCUGGAGCUAUGGAGGACCUGGAGCCCACUGAAGAUUGCUACCUUCCUCUAUUGCAAGCCAUGUAGCGAUCCUACUGCCUAAAUUUGUUUUGUGUGCUUCCUCAUAAUUUAGUGGACAAUUCAAUCCUUGAUGUAAGAUAUGCAACCGAACUUGUAAAUAUCAUGUCAAUUUCAGUGUGAUUCACCUGGCAGCUAAACUAAACUGUGUUCUGCUUUAUGCUUGUGCAUGUAUGCCCUGGUAAUUAGUAAGUCUAAACUUCUUAAUGCAAAACUAAACUAUGUUCAUAUCCUUUAUGCUUGUGCCUGUAUGCUCUGGUAAUUAGUAA